UUUUUUUUUUUUGGUUUUCUUCUCGUCAGAUGAACGCGGCGGCGUGCCUAAUACAUGCAAGUCGAGCGAACGGACGAGAAGCUUGCUUCUCUGAUGUUAGCGGCGGACGGGUGAGUAACACGUGGAUAACCUACCUAUAAGACUGGGAUAACUUCGGGAAACCGGAGCUAAUACCGGAUAAUAUUUUGAACCGCAUGGUUCAAAAGUGAAAGACGGUCUUGCUGUCACUUAUAGAUGGAUCCGCGCUGCAUUAGCUAGUUGGUAAGGUAACGGCUUACCAAGGCAACGAUGCAUAGCCGACCUGAGAGGGUGAUCGGCCACACUGGAACUGAGACACGGUCCAGACUCCUACGGGAGGCAGCAGUAGGGAAUCUUCCGCAAUGGGCGAAAGCCUGACGGAGCAACGCCGCGUGAGUGAUGAAGGUCUUCGGAUCGUAAAACUCUGUUAUUAGGGAAGAACAUAUGUGUAAGUAACUGUGCACAUCUUGACGGUACCUAAUCAGAAAGCCACGGCUAACUACGUGCCAGCAGCCGCGGUAAUACGUAGGUGGCAAGCGUUAUCCGGAAUUAUUGGGCGUAAAGCGCGCGUAGGCGGUUUUUUAAGUCUGAUGUGAAAGCCCACGGCUCAACCGUGGAGGGUCAUUGGAAACUGGAAAACUUGAGUGCAGAAGAGGAAAGUGGAAUUCCAUGUGUAGCGGUGAAAUGCGCAGAGAUAUGGAGGAACACCAGUGGCGAAGGCGACUUUCUGGUCUGUAACUGACGCUGAUGUGCGAAAGCGUGGGGAUCAAACAGGAUUAGAUACCCUGGUAGUCCACGCCGUAAACGAUGAGUGCUAAGUGUUAGGGGGUUUCCGCCCCUUAGUGCUGCAGCUAACGCAUUAAGCACUCCGCCUGGGGAGUACGACCGCAAGGUUGAAACUCAAAGGAAUUGACGGGGACCCGCACAAGCGGUGGAGCAUGUGGUUUAAUUCGAAGCAACGCGAAGAACCUUACCAAAUCUUGACAUCCUUUGACAACUCUAGAGAUAGAGCCUUCCCCUUCGGGGGACAAAGUGACAGGUGGUGCAUGGUUGUCGUCAGCUCGUGUCGUGAGAUGUUGGGUUAAGUCCCGCAACGAGCGCAACCCUUAAGCUUAGUUGCCAUCAUUAAGUUGGGCACUCUAAGUUGACUGCCGGUGACAAACCGGAGGAAGGUGGGGAUGACGUCAAAUCAUCAUGCCCCUUAUGAUUUGGGCUACACACGUGCUACAAUGGACAAUACAAAGGGCAGCGAAACCGCGAGGUCAAGCAAAUCCCAUAAAGUUGUUCUCAGUUCGGAUUGUAGUCUGCAACUCGACUACAUGAAGCUGGAAUCGCUAGUAAUCGUAGAUCAGCAUGCUACGGUGAAUACGUUCCCGGGUCUUGUACACACCGCCCGUCACACCACGAGAGUUUGUAACACCCGAAGCCGGUGGAGUAACCUUUUAGGAGCUAGCCGUCGAAGGUGGGACAAAUGAUUGGGGUGAGU
This 1504-nucleotide ribosomal RNA is filed under the name Staphylococcus aureus. RNAcentral describes it as "bacterial SSU rRNA". It matches the Rfam family "Bacterial small subunit ribosomal RNA". Lineage: Bacteria; Bacillati; Bacillota; Bacilli; Caryophanales; Staphylococcaceae. The record is from RNAcentral.